UACGAAGGGGGCUAGCGUUGUUCGGAGUUACUGGGCGUAAAGGGCGCGUAGGCGGCGCACCAAGUCAGGCGUGAAAGCCCUGGGCUCAACCCGGGAAUUGCGCUUGAGACUGGUGUGCUCGAGUACGGGAGAGGAUAGUGGAAUUCCUGGUGUAGCGGUGAAAUGCGCAGAUAUCAGGAGGAACACCAAUUGCGAAGGCAGCUCGCUGGGACGUAACUGACGCUGAGACGCGAAAGCGUGGGGAGCGAACAGG
RNAcentral lists this ribosomal RNA (253 nucleotides) under uncultured bacterium. Its description in RNAcentral is "partial 16S ribosomal RNA". It matches the Rfam family "Bacterial small subunit ribosomal RNA", at positions 524 to 776 of the family's 1533-position model. The record is from RNAcentral.